RNAcentral lists this small RNA (553 nucleotides) under Histoplasma capsulatum. RNAcentral describes it as "hypothetical RNA". Lineage: Eukaryota; Fungi; Ascomycota; Eurotiomycetes; Onygenales; Ajellomycetaceae. The record is from RNAcentral. RNAcentral also lists the same sequence under 1 other name.
UGGACAGUGGAUUGGUAUGACGAGGGGACGAAUACAUUAAUUACAGUGGGCAAAUAAAUAAGCACCUCAAGCUCAAGGCGAUCAGUCUCAAAAGUCAGAAAGGAAAAGAAGCCUUCAACUCUACCUAUAUUGUUUACAAAAGACGAUUGUUUUCGUUUUUUUUUUGUUUUUUUUUUUAAAAAAAAAAAGGAGUUGGAAUUGGUCCAUAAAUUCCUGAGCAUUAUUCCAUCUAAUAUACCGCAAGUGCUGUGUACAGUUGAACAGAGGACAUCUCCUGCUUUUGAAAGAGAGAGAGUAUAUGUGUGUGAAACAAUCACAGAUGAUAUAAACAAUGAUCCCAUUAUGUAUAGUUAUAUACUACCAUAACUAUGUAACUACUCUAUACUAGAUAUUUUCUCAGCCUCAGCCCCAGCCCCUCUCUCUCUAUGUGUGUGUAUAUACUAUUACCUACCUGCCUACCUGCCUAUAUACUAUAUGAUCCCUUACACCUGCAUAAAAAAUAAAAAAUAAAAUAAAAAGACCCAAAAUUCCAAAAACACAGCGAGACGGGGGG